UAUUAAAGGCAACGCCUGCCCAGUGAACAAUUAAACGGCCGCGGUACCCUAACCGUGCAAAGGUAGCAUAAUCAUUUGUCUACUAAUUAUAGACCUGUAUGAAAGGCAAAAUGAGGGCCCAACUGUCUCUUAUAAUAAAUCAAUUAAACUGAUCUACUAGUAAAAAAGCUAGAAUACCAACAUAAGACCAGAAGACCCUGUGAAGCUUAAACUAAACUAUUAAAUCAAAUAAUAGCUACUUUCGGUUGGGGCGACCUUGGAAAAAAAAAGAACUUCCAACCACAUCAUUAAGAAUUAAAUAGGCUAACAAGCCAACUAACGACCCAGCACAGCUGAUAAAUGAAACAAGUUACUCCAGGGAUAACAGCGCAAUCUUCUUCAAGAGCCCAUAUCAAAAAGAAGGUUUACGACCUCGAUGUUGGAUCAGGACAUCCUAAUGGUGCAGCCGCUAUUAAGGGUUCGUUUGUUCAACGAUU
RNAcentral lists this ribosomal RNA (476 nucleotides) under Philothamnus irregularis (brown tree snake). Its description in RNAcentral is "partial 16S ribosomal RNA". It matches the Rfam family "Bacterial large subunit ribosomal RNA", at positions 1844 to 2589 of the family's 2925-position model. Lineage: Eukaryota; Metazoa; Chordata; Lepidosauria; Squamata; Colubridae. The record is from RNAcentral.